GGUCAGCAAUGCUGCUCGCCACCACCACGGCAAUGGACCUUAUCCAAAGGCUGGGAGAAAACGAGGAGAGUUUGUCUACAGAGGGUGGAAGAUCUCUACCAAGUCCUUCAUAUCCAUGGUUAUCACAACCAAAGCCUCUCCAGAGGAGAGAGUGGGACAUUCCUCCAAAACCACAGGAAAGAAAGCAGAGAUUGCAGGUUCCAAACCCUCUUUUUCUGUGGACUACGGAGGGAGCCUCGCUGGUCGGCUUAGCCCUAAGGCUUCAAUGAAGACUUUGCAGAGCCCGUGGUGUACCAGCAGCUCUUCUGGACGUGCAGUUGUCAGCAAGGACUCCAGACACCAACCCAGACCACUUUCAUGGCUGGUUCAUGAUGACCCUGGCCAGGAGCACAUACCUAGACUUGCCUGGAGCAUGUACCUAGACUUGCAGGUAGGUUUUGCAGUCCUUGCUGAGUUGUCUUCACGUCAGGGUCUGAGUCAACCUGAGCUGAUUCCACAGGAGGGCAGCAGCUCCAACACAGAGCUGAGCAACCAGCCUGAC
Cuculus canorus (common cuckoo) is the source of this 541-nucleotide long non-coding RNA. RefSeq lists it as uncharacterized. The transcript is spliced from 3 exons. The record is from RefSeq and is a predicted model, not a curated record. Lineage: Eukaryota; Metazoa; Chordata; Aves; Cuculiformes; Cuculidae.